RNAcentral lists this ribosomal RNA (443 nucleotides) under Streptococcus salivarius. Its description in RNAcentral is "bacterial SSU rRNA". It matches the Rfam family "Bacterial small subunit ribosomal RNA", at positions 28 to 460 of the family's 1533-position model. Lineage: Bacteria; Bacillati; Bacillota; Bacilli; Lactobacillales; Streptococcaceae. The record is from RNAcentral.
GACGAACGCUGGCGGCGUGCCUAAUACAUGCAAGUAGAACGCUGAAGAGAGGAGCUUGCUCUUCUUGGAUGAGUUGCGAACGGGUGAGUAACGCGUAGGUAACCUGCCUUGUAGCGGGGGAUAACUAUUGGAAACGAUAGCUAAUACCGCAUAACAAUGGAUGACUCAUGUCAUUUAUUUGAAAGGGGCAAAUGCUCCACUACAAGAUGGACCUGCGUUGUAUUAGCUAGUAGGUGAGGUAACGGCUCACCUAGGCGACGAUACAUAGCCGACCUGAGAGGGUGAUCGGCCACACUGGGACUGAGACACGGCCCAGACUCCUACGGGAGGCAGCAGUAGGGAAUCUUCGGCAAUGGGGGCAACCCUGACCGACGCAACGCCGCGUGAGUGAAGAAGGUUUUCGGAUCGUAAAGCUCUGUUGUAAGUCAAGAACGAGUGUAGAG